CAGAGAUUUCUACACCUUGAUUUUAAUUUACUUUGGUGAUAUGACUAUUAGCAAUAUUCUUUUUAGGUGUGGCAAUUCCCAGGUUUGUGUUGAACAAAUCCUAGUCAUGUUUCUUGAUAUUGGGAAGAUAAUAUCUCUGCUCUAGAUGAACACAUAACCAAGGGAAAUAACAUUUUCUAACAAAAACUGUAGCUGUCAGUUUUAUUAACACAUUGACUAGGACAGCAGAAUUUCUAAUAAACACAGUUGAUGUAAGGUGGCUUUUUAGCAGCUUUACUCCAAACUGAGGCCAAGACAAUUCACAGGUACCCUGAACUCAUGAGGAAGCCAAUUGUUUUCUCUUCCUUGAAAUAAAAUUGAGAAGCUUGAAAUACAUAGUUUAAGAGCACAUACUGAAGUCAGCUACACUCUGCCAGUUAUUAACUAUUAUUUAACCCCAUGUGAUCUUCAAUUUUCCUGCCUCUACUGUAGGGAUAAGAACAGGCAGGUGGAGAUGAUUCCCAUGGGAUAGCACGUAGCCUGGCACAUGAUAAACAUAUAAUAGAGGUAAACUUUGUUGAUGCUAAACUAUGUUUUCUUAACUUUUGCCAAGAGCAUGAAGAGUUCCCCCAAUUUCACCAAAAUGGAACAAUAUUUCUAGACUCUUAGCCUAAAUUCAGUAACAUAGUAACCAGCAGAUGUUCAGAACAUUCACCCCACCUUACACUCUGUGGGUGCAAAACGGAAUCAUCAGCAUUUGAAGCUCCUGUUUACUCAUUUUCUAGACUGAAAUUCACUUCAGGUGGAUUUCCUCAACAGCAACCAAAUUGAGACCGUUCUGCCCACAUAAUUUUACUGCCUAUUUUAGUUCUUAUAAGCUAUGAUAUGUAAAUUAAUUAAUUAACAAUAUGUAAAUAAUUUACAUAUCAUAGCUUGUGAGAACUAGACUAUACAUAAAUAUAUACAUGCACACACAUACACAUUGGUUAUAGUAGGACUGAGGUUCUGUGACUUCAUGGUGAAAGUGUUUGUAUUAAAUUACCUGCCUUUAGGCCAGGCGCAGUGGCUCAAGCCUGUAAUCCCAGCACUUUGGGAGGCGGAGACGGGCGGAUCACAAGGUCAGGAGAUCGAGACCAUCCUGGCUAACAUGGUGAAACCCCGUCUGUACUAAAAAAUACAAAAACAAACAAACAAACAAAAACAAACAAACAAACUAGCCGGGCGAGGUGGCGGGCGCCUGUAGUCCCAGCUACUCAGGAGGCUGAGGUGGGAGAAUGGCGUAAACCCGGGAGGCGGAGCUUGCAGUGAGCUGAGAUCCAGCCACUACACUCCAGCCUGGGCGACAGAGCGAGACUCCGUCUCAAAAAAAAAAAAAAAAAAGAAAUUAAAACACAUAAAUGUUUAAAACACAAAAGUGAGUGAGUAUACACCCCAUAACCAUCAGAGCAUUGACAUGAUCAUACAUGAGGUAAUCUCAGGACAUGGGGGAAAAAAAAAAAAAAAAUGAGUGAAAAUGGCAAAUAACAUCUUGGUAUUAUUAUGAAAAUUGUUUUGACCUUACAGAUUUCCUGAAAAGAGGGGAGAUCCCAGAUCAGCCUUGGAGAACCUCUGAUGUAAGUAAAUCAAAAUAGUCAUGCCCCUAGUUUUCCAAAUCUCGUUAUAGCAAUGUGUUACCCAGUGAUCUGAUUUUGGCCAUUGGGAUUUGGGCAGAAGUAAAUAGAGGAGAUUUAUGGGAGAGCUCUUAUUUUAGUGAUAAAAAGGAAAAAGUAGGAAUGUGACUGGCUCACUCUUUCUCCUCUGUCAUUGUCUUAAAAGUGGUUAUAAGCUAUGGAGCUGCAACAGGCCACUUGCAACCAUAAGAUUGCAAAAAUGAGGCUGGAAGUCAAUCCGUAGGGUGACAAGAAUAGAAAGUUAAAAAUGAGCCCGAGUCUCUUAUUUCAUCAUUAAGUAGCUGAAUGAAUAAAAGAAAAUCAUACCUCCGGGUGUCUUAUGAGGGAAAAUAAAUCCCUGUUUAUUUAAACCAUUGUAAAUUAUUUUUUCUGUUACUAGAAGCUGAACACACUCCUUAUCGUUAUCUUUAAUCAGCUUUGAAAUCAAAGUUUUAUUAGCAUUAUAAAAUAAGUUCAGAGCGUUCCCAUUUCUAUUGUCUGGCACAACUUACAGAAGACAGAGAAUAUUUUGCUGAAAAGUUUGGUUGAUACUAUGUAUUCAUAAAAAUUGUCUGAAUCUGGAGUCUUUGUUGUUUAGUAUAUAUUUUACAAGAUUUGGCCCUUAAAUUAUAUUUUUGCCUUUUUAGCUUUUUGGUAGUUUCAAUAAUAUCAAGUGUUCAUUUUUUGUUAUACCAAUUUUGGCAUAUAUUUUUAAAUAAAUGUUUUUAUACUUUUCAGUUUUCAAAUGUAUUGCUGUUCUCAAUAUUUUUAGCAUGUUUUAACCUUGUUAUGUCUGACUAGUUCUCUUUUAACAUUCUCUGCAUAUUUUCUUGAUCUGUCUUGCUGUAGGGUUGCCUCACUUGUGAUUCUUUACAAAAAACUGAUUUUCAAUUUUCUGUAUCUGUUCCACAUUUUUCUCUAUUUCAUUGUAUGAGUUUAUUUUGUUGCUAUUUUCUUAUUUUUUGGGUUACAUAUUUGGCUCCUUGGCGUUCAAUCAUUUUAAAUACAAACUACAAAUUUCUCUCUACAAGCUGAUUUUAAAAUAUUUUAUUUUCAUUUUAUGC
This 2692-nucleotide long non-coding RNA is filed under the name Papio anubis (olive baboon). Its description in RNAcentral is "lncRNA (ENSPANG00000041491.1)". The record is from RNAcentral. Lineage: Eukaryota; Metazoa; Chordata; Mammalia; Primates; Cercopithecidae.